This 742-nucleotide ribosomal RNA is filed under the name Bifidobacterium sp. HGA0247. RNAcentral's name for it is "bacterial SSU rRNA". It matches the Rfam family "Bacterial small subunit ribosomal RNA", at positions 68 to 822 of the family's 1533-position model. The record is from RNAcentral. Lineage: Bacteria; Bacillati; Actinomycetota; Actinomycetes; Bifidobacteriales; Bifidobacteriaceae.
GGAUCCAUCAGGCUUUGCUUGGUGGUGAGAGUGGCGAACGGGUGAGUAAUGCGUGACCGACCUGCCCCAUACACCGGAAUAGCUCCUGGAAACGGGUGGUAAUGCCGGAUGCUCCAGUUGAUCGCAUGGUCUUCUGGGAAAGCUUUCGCGGUAUGGGAUGGGGUCGCGUCCUAUCAGCUUGACGGCGGGGUAACGGCCCACCGUGGCUUCGACGGGUAGCCGGCCUGAGAGGGCGACCGGCCACAUUGGGACUGAGAUACGGCCCAGACUCCUACGGGAGGCAGCAGUGGGGAAUAUUGCACAAUGGGCGCAAGCCUGAUGCAGCGACGCCGCGUGAGGGAUGGAGGCCUUCGGGUUGUAAACCUCUUUUAUCGGGGAGCAAGCGAGAGUGAGUUUACCCGUUGAAUAAGCACCGGCUAACUACGUGCCAGCAGCCGCGGUAAUACGUAGGGUGCAAGCGUUAUCCGGAAUUAUUGGGCGUAAAGGGCUCGUAGGCGGUUCGUCGCGUCCGGUGUGAAAGUCCAUCGCUUAACGGUGGAUCCGCGCCGGGUACGGGCGGGCUUGAGUGCGGUAGGGGAGACUGGAAUUCCCGGUGUAACGGUGGAAUGUGUAGAUAUCGGGAAGAACACCAAUGGCGAAGGCAGGUCUCUGGGCCGUUACUGACGCUGAGGAGCGAAAGCGUGGGGAGCGAACAGGAUUAGAUACCCUGGUAGUCCACGCCGUAAACGGUGGAUGCUGGAUG